UAUUAAAUGGCCAGUAUCCUCACCUCCUCACUCAGACAACUAGGACACUCAGAGAGGACAAGAGGGUUACAUUAUACUCAGUGGCCUAUUGACAUAGGAUUUUUCACCAAGGACUAAACUUUACAGACAAACUGAUACACAUGGCUAUCUAUAUGCUGUCCAUAGGUCUUGCCCUGCUACUAAUGUGUUUUCCCAUCAAGGGUUUUACCAAGCCAGCGCAA
Alosa alosa (allis shad) is the source of this 221-nucleotide long non-coding RNA. RefSeq lists it as uncharacterized. The transcript is spliced from 3 exons. Lineage: Eukaryota; Metazoa; Chordata; Actinopteri; Clupeiformes; Clupeidae. The record is from RefSeq and is a predicted model, not a curated record.